AAGAAUAUAUUUGACCCUUUCCCGAUAGUACAGGGGUAUAUUUGGCCCUUUUCCAUUUUUUAAAAUCUAAACUAGCCCCAAUUAAUCAGAUCCAUUUCUUUUAACACUUAAACCCAGGAACCAUUUUCUAGACGCAACAUUCAGCCAUGCGCUUAACCAUCAGCCGAUGAUUCAAACUCCUAAAAAAUUCCCUCUGCUUUCAGGAUUUCAUGAUUAGGGAAUGGGCCAUCAGCCAACAAGAAGACUUCUAAAACAACUUGAACUAUCACAAGCAAUUGCAAUGAAGAAAUACUCAAGCUACAUACAUGCAUACAAUCCUCUUUAAGUUUCAACAAAAUACAAGAGUUUUUUUAAUGAUAAAGUACACAUGCUCUCACCAAAUUUCAUAAAAGAACAUGCACUUGGAGUUGGCCAUUUUGUAAUUAUUAUUCUCCCCUUAUGAUUAUCUAUUGCGAGGUGAGGUGAGGUAAUGUCCUAUUUCUUA
Long non-coding RNA from Lycium ferocissimum, 484 nucleotides. RefSeq lists it as uncharacterized. The record is from RefSeq and is a predicted model, not a curated record. The transcript has 2 exons. NCBI's taxonomy places the organism in Eukaryota, Viridiplantae, Streptophyta, Magnoliopsida, Solanales, Solanaceae.